Molecule: ribosomal RNA, 253 nt
Filed under: uncultured prokaryote
Description: partial 16S ribosomal RNA
Rfam family: Bacterial small subunit ribosomal RNA
Source: RNAcentral
ACGAAGGGUGCAAGCGUUAAUCGGAAUUACUGGGCGUAAAGCGUGCGUAGGCGGUUGGCUAAGUCGGAUGUGAAAGCCCUGGGCUCAACCCAGGAAGUGCAUUCGAAACUGCCGAGCUGGAGUCCUGGAGAGGAAGGCGGAAUUCUCGGUGUAGAGGUGAAAUUCGUAGAUAUCGAGAGGAACACCGGUGGCGAAGGCGGCCUUCUGGACAGUGACUGACGCUGAGACGCGAAAGCGUGGGGAGCAAACAGGA